RNAcentral lists this ribosomal RNA (504 nucleotides) under uncultured Sphingobacteriales bacterium. RNAcentral's name for it is "bacterial SSU rRNA". It matches the Rfam family "Bacterial small subunit ribosomal RNA", at positions 903 to 1382 of the family's 1533-position model. The record is from RNAcentral. Lineage: Bacteria; Pseudomonadati; Bacteroidota; Sphingobacteriia; Sphingobacteriales.
CGCCUUGCCAGCCCGCUCAGAAACUUAAAGGAAGUUGACGGGGGCCCGCACAAGCGGUGGAGCAUGUGGUUUAAUUCGAUGAUACGCGAGGAACCUUACCUGGGCUCAAAUGUAUGUUGACGUAUUCUGAAAGGGAUACUUCUUCGGACAAUAUACAAGGUGCUGCAUGGUUGUCGUCAGCUCGUGCCGUGAGGUGUCGGGUUAAGUCCCAUAACGAGCGCAACCCCUACCUUUAGUUGCCAUCAGGUUAAGCUGGGGACUCUAAAGGAACUGCCUACGCAAGUAGUGAGGAAGGCGGGGAUGACGUCAAAUCAGCACGGCCCUUACGUCCAGGGCUACACACGUGCUACAAUGGCCGAUACAGAGGGCAGCUACCUGGUGACAGGAUGCAAAUCUCCAAAGUCGGUCUCAGUUCGGAUCGGAGUCUGCAACCCGACUCCGUGAAGUUGGAUUCGCUAGUAAUCGCGCAUCAGCCAUGGCGCGGUGAAUACGUUCCCGGGCCUU